RNAcentral lists this ribosomal RNA (486 nucleotides) under uncultured bacterium. Its description in RNAcentral is "partial 16S ribosomal RNA". It matches the Rfam family "Bacterial small subunit ribosomal RNA", at positions 28 to 507 of the family's 1533-position model. The record is from RNAcentral.
AUCGAACGCUGGCGGCAUGCCUUACACAUGCAAGUCGAACGGCAGCACGGGUUCUUGCACCUGGUGGCGAGUGGCGAACGGGUGAGGAAUACAUCGGAACAGGUCCUGGAGUGGGGGAUAGCCCGGCGAAAGCCGGAUUAAUACCGCAUACGAUCUACGUAGGACAGCGGCGGACCUUCUGGCCUCGCGCUAUAGGGUUGGCGGGUGGCUGGCUAGCGAGUUGGUGGGGUAAAGGCCUACCAAGGCGACGAUCAGGAGCUGGCCUGAGGGGACGACCAGCCACCCUGGGAGUGCGGCACGGCCCAGACUCCUACGGGGGGCGGCAGUGGGGAAUUUUGGACAAUGGGCGAAGGCCUGAUCCAGCAAUGCCGCGUGUGUGAAGAAGGCCUUCGGGUUGUAGAGCACUUUUGUCCGGAAAGAAGUCCUUGGCCCUAAUACGGUCGGGGGAUGACGGUACCGGAAUAAUAAGCACCGGCUAACUACGUG